CAGACUUAUAGAUAUGAAGCUGAGGCAGAUUGGAAAGAGACAGAUGAACCCAUCCCUAAGUAGCACUGCUGCUUUUAAAAAGGUAAGUUCUUCAAUCAAUGUAUAGCGGGGCUCUGCAUAUUCCUUCAUAUAAGACCUGAAUCAGCCCAAAUUCAGCCAUUCACAUUCUCAAGGCAUUUCCAAAAGUUUUUUCUCUGGGUAGAACCAGGCUUUUCUAUGUACAUUGAAAAGCCAUAGCAGAAGCUGAACAGAAACUUUUUUUGCUUUGAAGUUGAAAGAUGAGCCAUUGCCUUGUUGCCUACGGUAACAUGGCAAGCAAAUUAAUCAGGGAACCAUUGGGGAUAUUGUAAAAUCUUUCAGGUGGAGGGGUUCCUGAUCCCAAGUGCCAAUUCACAUUGGCAGCAUAUGUGAGCACGAUGACCCAUUUUUAGCAGCCAUGCCUGAGCAGCAUAGCAUGAGGAAAUGGUACCUAUUACCAGUGUUUGCUUUACCUGAGAUUGCUUUUCUGCACAUGCCAUGGGAACAACCCAUGAGGAAGAUUUUAGAGCAUCUGAAAAAGCCCUCGGUUCCCUUAGGAAAAUGUGGGCCAAAUUAAAUCCUUGAACAUCCCUAGUACUAUAGUCAAGAGGACUACUCAAACUCCAGCAAACUCCUAGUAAAAUCAGGGGCUAUGUGUCAUUACACGUCCAGGAAGGUAAACAACUAUAAUUCAUUGUUUCAGAUGACAAGAUAAAUAAAUGGCAAAUGAAAGCAAUGUUUAAACAUGUAAUAAGCUGCUUGAAGAAAAACAUUCUGAAAACGUUCUCCAUUCAGACUUGUUUGAAGAAAGAUCCAGCGGUGCAAAAAGUAAUUCAUAAACAGCUGAAAAGAAAGAGACUGGAAAAGAUGCUGUUUGCAGGCGCUUGGUCCAGAUAGACACAAACUCACCUGCUCACUCCAUUGCCCUGAACACUGACGGCGUCAUUCCUGAAAGCUCAGGACGUUGUCAAUCUUCAUAAUAAAAUCUGAGGGCUGAAAGCUGUUUCUAAAGGAAUAGUCCAUGACUUCAAAGUGUCACUGAUUUUGCCCUCUGUGACACAGCAGCAGAGUUGCUGGAGAUGAAAAGGCACCUUUGUUCAGCCCUCUGUUUGCUUAAGACAGUUCAGAAAUGGCAGAGCUCUUCAAUGAUAGUUUUAAAUUACUCACCUAUCAGUUCUCCCUCUGUCUCCCCAACCCCCCGCCUGCCACAAAAAAAAAAAAAACCCAUCACAGCAAUGCUGAAACCUGUGGACUUUCCAUCUAAACAAAGAUUGCUCUAAUUCUCUUUAAUGUUGCUGUCUACCCCACUGUACCUGGAAGCAUGCAUUCUCACUGUAUUUUGCUCUGUAUUUUGCACUGUAUUGUUUCUCUUUCAGGAGCUUCCAUGUGAUCACAAUGGGGGGCUUACAGGGUCGAAUGGUUGGCUUGGAACCCAGUGAAGAUCACAUGCAUGGGCUGACAGUGUGAUCUAGUGCUUCCCCAUUGGGUCACACAUAUGGCUUUGAUUUGCUCAUGGAAGCUUCACACACAGAGACACAACACGCUUCUGUGAUUGCAAAAAUUACCAUAUUUUUUGCUCUAUAAGACUCACUUUUUCCCUCCUAAAAAGUAAGGGGAAAUGUGUGUGCGUCUUAUGGAGUGAAUGCAGGCUGCGCAGCUAUCCCAGAAGCCAGAAGAGCAAGAGGGAUUGCUGCUUUCACUGCGCAGCAAUCCCUCUUGCUGUUCUGGCUUCUGAGAUUCAGAAUAUUUUUUUCUUGUUUUCCUCCUCCAAAAAUUAGGUGCGUCUUGUGGUCUGGUGCGUCUUAUAGAGUGAAAAUACGGUAUGUUGCAAAGUAACUCAUUUGGCUUUGGGUACUUGGCACCUUGAUCUGAGGGAGUAGGAAACACUAUUUGUUGCUCUGCUUCAGGCAAGUUUACCUGCUAAAUUUCUGUGAAGCCAACAGGGCCAACGCUUGAUUUUAAAUUUUCUCACACAAUACCAACAUUCAAAGGGAUAGGGAAAAAAGGUUGACUUUCAGUCUGCUUGUAGACAGUUCACAUUUCCUGAAAACAUACUCAGAAGCUUCUUCCUUACUUGAGACACUCCAAAAGGGAGUCGGGAAGGAGAUAAACAUAUCCCCAAGUCUCCUUUCCCCUCCAUGAUUAUUUCAUGUCUUAGCAGCCUCCCUACCCCCAAAAUCGGACUGAUUAGAUUGUUUUCAAAAAGAUUUUGUGUUGAAUGAUCAAAAAUGCCUCCCCUGCCAGAUUUGCUGGAGCCACGGAGAGCGUGCUUGCAUGAAUUCAUCAAGAAAGAUGAAUAUGCAUUCAGGUCAAAACAUUCCUUGAUCAUCUUUGCUCCUUUGACCUUUCCCGACAUGUGCUCACAAAAGUGGCUUGAGGGGAAAGAGAAAACAAACUCGAGUGUUUCUGCAGAGAAUUAGAAGGAAUUCCCCUGAAUAUGAAUAUCUGGAGCCAUGAUUACUCCCCUUCUUUCCCCAGCUUUUCAUUUCAUCCUGUUCACAUGGUCAGGAAGGCUGGGUAAUCAAGCAAUAAUCAACUAACCCCUAGGUUAUUCCACUGUUAUACAAAAGGGCCAUUCAGUGUGGAAGUAGCAAAUGAAAAGAGUCUGCUGAUAUAUUACAGGGAGCUAGCGCGGAAGUAUGAAGAACGACUGAAGCAGUCUGCGCUUAAAUUUAACAUCCCUAUUUGCAAACUUCCAGACAGUGAGUUCCAGUGAGUUCCAGCUGAAAAAAAGCCCUGCUUCCAUAGCUAUUGCAAAACUUCAAGGGGCGGGGGAGAGAGUGGUCAAGUUCACAUCUCUGUGGGAGUGUUGUUGUGGGAUAAUUACCCAAUGUAGAAUUUUGUUAUACGACUUCAAAACAGUGCAUUCAGGCCAAAAGAAGAGCCAACAAUCAGGGCUGGCCCACCCAUGAGGCAAAGUGAGAUGACUGCCUCAGGUGGCAAGAUCAAAGGGACAGCUGAUCCAGACUUCAAGGAAUGCAUUGCCUGCUGGCUUGGGGGCUGGAUCUGCUGCACUCUACAAUUCUAUGAUUCUAACUCUGAAGAAGGCAAAUGUUCUGCAGGUGCUGCUUCCGACAUCAUAUGGUUGCAGUUAUGGAGGUGACCACUCUUUUUAGAAUGUCUAUAUGUGAUGGAAGAUGGGGCACAAUUAGCGGCAGGGUGUUGCAGGUGGGACUCAGGCCUCGAACCAAAACGUUGUAUGUUUCAGGCACUUGUAUGGCACCCUAAAUGGCAGGGUCGGGUGUGUGGAGGUGGUAGCACCCUGGACAGUUCCACUGAACAAGUCUCUGGAGCAGGGGAUUAGGAACCUCUGGCCCUGGAGGGGUGGUUGGACUCUAACCCCCAUCAAUCCAGCUUGCAGGAUCAGUAGUUAGGGACAGUGUUUCUCAACCUUGGGUCCCCAGCUGCUGUUAUACUACAAGUCCCAUCAUCCCUAGCUAGCAGGGCCAGUGGUCAGGGAUGAUGGGAGCUGUAGUCCAACAACAUCUGGAGGAUCACAAAUUCCCCACCCCUGCUUUAAAAGCUGAGUCACCAGGGAUACAGGUAGUAAAAACAUUGUAUGAUUUGAAUGUAAUGGAGGCAAAUGAUUUCCUGCCACAAAGAAUGCCAAAAUAUAAAAGCAGAGAGAGAGAGAGAGAGAGAGAGAGAGACAGAGAGAUUAAAGGCAUGUAAAAAAAGAGAGCAACUUCCUUUGAUGUAGGGAUUAAUUAUAUGAAUUUGGAAUGCUUUUUUUUUAAAAUGGGAGCUUUAUAGGAAGCAUUCUACCUAUGUCAUAGGAAAUUAAACGUUUUCUCAAAAGGAUUCCAGUUUUACAAUGUCAAUGGCAGCAUUUUUAGAGCACAUCUGGGCUGCCAAAGCUUUUCACAUACAUUAUCUCGGUUACCUUCACAAAGCUUCGUGAAAUAUGUCAGUGUUCUUUGGCCUAUAUUGCAGGCAGUAGUUGCAACUGAGGACAUUAUAGCUACUCCUUAUUUAUUUAUCUUGUUUUAUCUGUUUGCUACUUAGUUCAUUAUAUAUCGCCUUUCCUCCUAGAGAAAGAAGCAAAUGACAAGCAAGGAAACAAUGAAAACAUUUAAAAAGCAAUUCCAAUAAGGAUGCAGACUGGGAAAUAUCUUUAAAAGGCUUGUUGAAAGAGGAAGGUCUUAAGUAGGUGCUGAAAAGACAACAGAGGCAGCACAUGUCUAAUAUUCUAGGGGAAAGGAUUUCAAAGGCUAGGUGCCACAACACUAAAGGCUCAAUUCCUGUGUUGUGUGGAAAGGACCUCCUGAUAAAGAUGGCAUCUGCAGGAGGUACUUACCUGCAGAGCACAGAGAUUGAUGGGGUAAACAAGGGAUGAGAUGAUCUUUCAGGUAUCCUACUGCCAAGCUGUAUAUGGCUUCAUAUACCCAAACCAGCACCUUGAACUUAGCCCAGUAGCUGGUUGGCAGCCGGGGGUGUUAUAAGCAAGUAAACAACCCAAGGUGAGAUGAAAUCCAAGCUUUAGUACAUAUGUUUUGUUGCCCCUUCAUACAUCUGAAUCCAUCGUGGAAGAGAAUUGCCUUAACAGCCAUGAGUACACAGCUAUCCUUACAGAAGGCAAGGUGAAUGAAUUAGUAUAAAUAUCUAAACAUGAGCAAUAGUGUGUUCUAAGCACAUUGAAAUAGCACCAGUCAAAAGAAAUCCAGAGAGAAUUAUCCGUUUCCCCAGGCCCUGCCUACGAACGAAGGCCGGGCAAGGGAGGAGCAGGGAGAGAGACAUUUCAUAUUGUAGGUGCCAGAUGAUGUAGGUAAAUUAGUCUGGAGAACAAUAUACUUCAAUUUCAGACAAAGACAGGAACCAUCUGGUAAGCAUUUCUUUCAGUGCCUUUCUGUACUCUGGGGAUAUGCAAUUUGAAUGCAUUUGAUAGAGAGCGGCCUGAAAAUUUCUAAUAAAAGGCGAGAUUCUUUUAUGUCAAGUAAGGCAAAGACAUCUACAGCACCAUCGUAUGUAGGGAGUCUGAAUAAAUUUGUUGCUGCAGCCAGACAUGUGGAAAAGUAGCUGCUCUUGUAUGCAUUACAAGGUGCUUGUUCCAAUUUAAUUGCGGUGAUUUUGCGCUUGUAUUGACACUCUUCUUUUCAGGUCUAAUCUGACUGUGUUGGGAGUGGGUCACAAACCUCCUACGAUUAGAUUUUGAAUUCCUUUCUUCUGCUCCGCAAAGAAUUGUGGCACUCACUGCCAUCCUUUUGCUGUUUCUCACCCUCUUGAUCCCACUUGCGUUACAACUGACUGAUCUACCAAUUUACUAGAUGACUUCAUGCAUCUGAAAAGGUGGGCUCUAGCCCCCCAAAAGCUUAGCCCAUGACUUUGACACUGUACAACCCUAUGCACCUUUACAAUGGAGUGGGCCACACUGAAUUUAAAUGGGAUUUCCAUCUGAAUAAACAGGCAUAGGCCUGGGCUGCAUGAGUGAGCCGCGAAUCAGGAAACGUGCCAUUUAAACCUCACCUUGAUCCUAAUUCAGUAGCUGGCUUUCGUCAAGACAUUUGAAAAAUGUCAGUAAUAUUGGCAUACCUUGCAGCCGAUAUUACAGGGCUGUGGUAAAGAAUAGGUAUGAGAUGACUGAACUGUGCUUUACAAGGAAUAUUAAAUAUGGUUGCUGCAGAUAAUUAUUACAGUUAUAGUACAGUUUCCAAUAUUGGGUCUGUGUCCCCACCAUAGGAAGGUUUGCAAAUAGCGAUUAUGUGAAAAAUUGAAUUUAGGCUGCAAGCUAAUACCCACUUUCCAGUGGAAUAAGUCCCACUGAGCCCAAUGGGGCUUUGUUCUGGGUAGAUAUGUACAGAAUUUAAGCAUUUUAUCUCACUCUGUAGGCAAAAAGCCCCCCUGCCUUAUAGCAGUUCACAAAGAUAAUAUAGGUCCUAGUUUCAGGAUUAGAGUCUAAAAGGCAAGACACACAAGGAAAAGAGCGGUGGGGAGGGAGGAGGCAAAAAGCAAGCUUGGGAAUCAGUUCUUAAAAGGAGCAUUUGUCCGGAUUGAUCUGUGGGGCAGAUAUACGGCAAUGAACAUUCAUCCACAUUUGCUUGCAAGCAUGUGUCUGCAUCUCCCAGUUAAGUCAUUCAUUCAUCUCACACUUCUCCAUGCAUUUCCUCCUCACUUUCCAAACUGCAAAAAGGCGGAAUCUUUUUCAGUGGAUUUCUUGCACUGGAACAACAGAGCCCUUUAAUUAGGGUUGCCAUAUUUCAAGAAGUGAAAAUCCGGACACAAAAGUUGUUGAGGGGGAGCAAAGUAGGGUUUGUGUGUGUGUGUGUGUGUGUUUGUUUGCUAACUCUCCUAAUAAUAAUAUUGAAGUUUUAAAGCUAUUCCCCCAUAUUUUUACAGAAAUUUGCCAAAAAUUCAACACUUCUGAUAUGGGCUGCCAUACACCUGGAAGGACAAAUCCCAGCUCUGUCUGGAAAAUUGGCAGCCAGCCCUACUUUAAUCCACUUGAACAGUGCAAAAUGGUCCAAGCCUGCGCUUGAAUUCAUCCUGCAGAACAGUGUCCAUCUCCAGGAACCUGCAGUUCUGUUUUCCCCAUGCCCAGGCCCAAAAGUUCUAUUCACUGAUCACUGGACUGCAGUGGCUUCUUCAGCAAUGAUGAAAACAGCAAACUGGC
Podarcis lilfordi (Lilford's wall lizard) is the source of this 6625-nucleotide non-coding RNA. The record is from the annotation of a GenBank genome assembly. NCBI's taxonomy places the organism in Eukaryota, Metazoa, Chordata, Lepidosauria, Squamata, Lacertidae.